AUACAUGCAGUCGUACGAAGGAGCUUGCUCCUUAGUGGCGAACGCGGUGAGUAAUACAUAAAUAAUCUGCCUCAAUGUCUGGGAUAACUAUUGGAAACGAUAGCUAAUACCGGAUAGCUUGUUAGAAGACAUCUUCUUUCAACUAAAGGAGCGUUCGCUCCGCUUUGAGAUGAGUUUAUGGCGCAUUAGUUAGUUGGCGGGGUAAUGGCCCACCAAGACGAUGAUGCGUAGCCGAUCUGAGAGGAUGACCGGCCACACUGGGACUGAGACACGGCCCAGACUCCUACGGGAGGCAGCAGUAGGGAAUUUUCGGCAAUGGGCGAAAGCCUGACCGAGCAACGCCGCGUGAGUGAUGAAGGCCUUCGGGUUGUAAAGCUCUGUUGUUAGGGAAGAAUGAUCAGGAUAGGAAAUGAUCUUGAAGUGACGGUACCUAACCAGAAAGCCACGGCUAACUACGUGCCAGCAGCCGCGGUAAUACGUAGGUGGCAAGCGUUAUCCGGAAUUAUUGGGCGUAAAGGGUGCGUAGGCGGUUUCUUAAGUCUUAUGUGAAAUCUCAGAGCUUAACUCUGGGCUGCAUAAGAAACUAUUAGACUAGAGUGCAGGAGAGGGCAACGGAAUUCCAUGUGUAGCGGUAAAAUGCGUAGAUAUAUGGAGGAACACCGGUGGCGAAGGCGGUUGCCUGGCCUGUUACUGACGCUGAAGCACGAAAGCGUGGGGAGCAAAUAGGAUUAGAUACCCUAGUAGUCCACGCUGUAAACGAUGAAUACUAAGUGUUGGGAUAAAACUCAGUGCUGCAGUUAACGCAAUAAGUAUUCCGCCUGGGGAGUACGCACGCAAGUGUG
RNAcentral lists this ribosomal RNA (842 nucleotides) under uncultured bacterium. RNAcentral's name for it is "SSU rRNA". It matches the Rfam family "Bacterial small subunit ribosomal RNA", at positions 51 to 896 of the family's 1533-position model. The record is from RNAcentral.